AAACUACUUCUUGUUUAGAUUAAAUUAGAGUUCUAGUAUACUUAGGAGUUUUAUUUAGAUUUAUUUAUCUAGCCUAUAUAUAGGCCUUUGCAUUGUAUCUGAGGGGACAAUUGAUUAUUAUUCUAUUUCUCUUUUGAGUUAAUAAAUUCUCUUUGAGUUUUUUCUUUUCAAGAAUUUCUCUUGAGUUUCUUUUAGAAGAGUUUUAACAAUCUUUUUAGAUUGUGGGGAUCAUCUUCAAACUUUUUCUUGCCAAGGUUUUUUAUCUUGGAGGGGAAAUUAGAGCCGCUUGAAGGGGGUUGUGGAUUCUUCGUGUUUCCAAGGCUUCUUAGGACUUCUACACGCCACGUUCUAUCUUUCCAUUUAUCUUCUUUAUUCAUUUCCUAAAUCAUUGAUUUAUUAUUUGUUUUAAUUAUUUUAUCUAACUUGGAUUUAAUUUCGUUUCAGGUUGUGUCAAGAAAAAUCCAAGUUUCUUUCCGAACAUCUAGAGCCCUAAGUCAAAUCCGCGACUUUGACAAACUUUACGAUCCGCUUUCGCGUUCAUCCUUCUCAACCUUUAUCAGCACAUAUAUGGCGUUGUGUAAGUAAAGCAAGGGGUCUCUCAGCUGAUCAAGAUACCAAGCUGUAUUUUCCAGUUGACGGUCGAUAUAGGUUGGAUCCUCCGCUCCCAGCAGGCUACGUCGGCAAUGACCGCAUACUUUUGGAUGCCCAAACCUUAUUGUUGUUCCAUGGAACUGGUUGCCUAUAUAUGAGGCAGACUUCGGAUGGGGUCGUCCCAUAUAUAUGGGGCCAGGGAAUGUCGUCCAAGAAGGAAAAAUUUACAUACUACCAAGUCCAGUUAACGAUGGGAGUUUGUCACUGGCAACUGGUUUAGAGACCUCUCACAUAAAAGCCUUUGAAAAACUUCUUUAUGAGUUUUAAUAGUUAUCUUAUGUUACCAGUGUCUCGCGCAUAAAGCUUGGAUGUAAUGAAUGAUCAUUUGCAUUUACUUUUUUUGUGGUUGACGGAUUGUAAUGGAAAUUAAUGCAGUAUCAUUUAAUGAUUAAUUUAAGACGUUAGGUGAUUUCUUUUUCCUUGAA
Molecule: long non-coding RNA, 1076 nt
Organism: Gossypium arboreum
Lineage: Eukaryota; Viridiplantae; Streptophyta; Magnoliopsida; Malvales; Malvaceae
Exons: 2
Source: RefSeq, a predicted model, not a curated record